Molecule: unclassified non-coding RNA, 467 nt
Filed under: Hevea brasiliensis (rubber tree)
Lineage: Eukaryota; Viridiplantae; Streptophyta; Magnoliopsida; Malpighiales; Euphorbiaceae
Source: RNAcentral
GCAGAAAGUUAUUUUUAAUCCCCUAAUGAUAUCUGAAUGAAACAGGUCCAAAUGAAGCAAAGUGAUAUCGCGGAUUCAUAUAACUGAUUACUUUACACAGAGAAUGUUAGUAGGAAACCUUGUGGAUUGUUCCAUUGCUUUUCAAAGAGUCUUACAGCAUGGACCACUAUAGCUGGUAAAUGUAGGAAGACGGUAAAUGUGCAAUUGACAAAGUCAAUAUCUCCAAAGCGAGCAUUGUACAAUAUCUCUUGGCUAUAUACCACAAGGUACCCCAUGAAAAAUGCAUGCAGAGUGUAUACCUACAUACAAGCAGUACUCAUCAUCAGGUCAGACAUAUUAUUUAUUCAUUAGACAGAAGUAACACAUCGUAUGCAUACAACUGCAUGCUUACCACUAAUAUCCAAUGAGCUAUGUGGCUGUCAAGGAUAUCUAAAGCAUAAAGACAAACGCCGUAGAUUAUUACAGCA